UACGUAGGGCGCAAGCGUUGUCCGGAAUUAUUGGGCGUAAAGCGCGCGUAGGCGGCUUUUCAAGUCGAUUGUGAAAUCCCCGGGCUUAACCUGGGAACUGCAGUCGAGACUGUCUAGCUAGAGUAUGGGAGAGGGAAGUGGAAUUUCAGGUGUAGCGGUGAAAUGCGUAGAUAUCUGAAGGAACAUCAGUGGCGAAAGCGACUUCCUGGACCAAUACUGACGCUCAUGUGCGAAAGCGUGGGGAGCAAACAGG
Molecule: ribosomal RNA, 253 nt
Filed under: uncultured bacterium
Lineage: Bacteria
Description: partial 16S ribosomal RNA
Rfam family: Bacterial small subunit ribosomal RNA
Source: RNAcentral